RNAcentral lists this long non-coding RNA (469 nucleotides) under Catharus ustulatus (Swainson's thrush). RNAcentral's name for it is "lncRNA (ENSCUSG00005002394.1)". The record is from RNAcentral. Lineage: Eukaryota; Metazoa; Chordata; Aves; Passeriformes; Turdidae.
UUCACACUGAGUGCCACUUGUGCCUUUGUCUGUUUUCUCUGUCCCUGCUGUUUAUAGCACACACAGAGAGCACAACAUCCUCUACAACGGAAUUGCCAACCAUUUCCUCAUCACCAGAGACUCCCACCACGACCACCGGUACAACUACCACCACACCCACCAGCACCACUACCUCUCCCACCACCACAACCAGUGGACCAACGACAACAACUGUUUCAACAACAACCACCACAGAGAGCACAGCAUCCCCUACAACGGAAUUGUCAACCAUUUCCUCAUCACCAGAGACUCCCACCACGACCACCGGUACAACUACCACCACACCCACCAGCACCACUACCUCUCCCACCACCACAACCAGUGGACCAACGACAACAACAACUGUUACAACAACGCCCCCCCCAGGUAUGUUCCAAAACCAAAUAAUUCCUGCUAAAAGCCCUGUGCCUCCAACUACAGUAGCAACAGA